Non-coding RNA from Microcebus murinus (gray mouse lemur), 2407 nucleotides. NCBI's taxonomy places the organism in Eukaryota, Metazoa, Chordata, Mammalia, Primates, Cheirogaleidae. The record is from RefSeq and is a predicted model, not a curated record.
GCGUGUGUGUGUUCUUCUUGUUAGCUGCCCUCAAGCUUUUCCGGAAAGAGUCACAGAACAAACAACACAAGGUACAUGAAAUAAAAGGCCUAACCGUGGCCCUACAGCAGGAACAACCUGGUCUGGUCGGGGAGAGAGACCCGCCCACAGGAAAGCUAAGAGCUCCAUUUACAGAGAGAGCCCAAGCUCUUAACCCCUGAGAAACAAGCCUAAGACGUUUCUCCGGUUUUGCUUCCUGGGAAGGUCCUGGACACGCCGGCAAGAGGCAGAGAGUACCCUGUUGUUCGUGAGUACCUCAUCUCCGACUGACAUGAUGUCUACUGGGACACUGUAGAAAGCCCUCUUCCUUAAGAUGAAGCCCACACAGAUCUCCAACAGCCAGAAUUUUCCAUGAGGCCUGCAUCAGUGUACCUUGGAGAAAUCAUGGGCUUGUGUGUUUUCGGGCCUUUGCCCUGAAGCCCCAGCUGCCAUGUGGAGAGCCGUGUGCGUGCUCCCUCUGCCAGCCCCAGUCGAUCCCAGACACAGGAGCGUGUGAGAUCCCAGGAAAUUCCAAUCUGCUAUUGUCAAGGAACCCCCUCAGGCUUCAAGUCUUCCCAGCUGAGAGCCCAAAUUACAGCACAGAGAUAAGCUCUCUCUCUCUGAAUAUGUGGGUAUAGUUGUAAAAAACCUUUUUUGUCUUGUUUUAUUUUUGUUGUUAAGUGCGGGGUAGUUUGCAUUACAGCAUUAGACACUGGAACACUGAAUAGAGUUUGCAUCUCACUGAAAACGUACAGAUGUUGUUCCUGCAGUUACUCUUGUAAUUCCCGUGGCCUCCAGAUAGAAGCCAGUUUUGAAGGUAGAUGUGAGAGAUCUUUCGUUUUUAGUAAACUAGAAGCAAGGAGCUAGGCGUCCGGGAGGGACAGGUGUUCAGGGUACCGGAUGUUGCCUGAAGAAACUAAAGUUUCUGAAAAGUGAACACGGCUGGUGGAAUCAGUCCAUUCCAAAGCCAGAUUCAAUGAGUAUACACUGAACACUGUGCUAAUAAGCACCAGGGCACCACGGUACUAAUGAGAGGACGAGAUGGAGACUACAUAGCAUUAAUAUAUCAGCUUUCCCUCCUGCGGCCAACAGGCUGCUUUUCUUUAUAUUUCCCACUCCGAGUUCUCAAGAAAGAAUGUGAUUUUUCUAGGCAUAUGCCACUGUCCCUUACUGGAAAGAAUUUUUAUAUUAAGCCACUCGGCCUACCAGCUAACCUGUGGAUUCUGUGCCUUGGGGUCGGGCAUCUGCCCUCCUCUAAGCUGGGAUAGAGCUGAUUGGAACUAUCUUGGGCUGAAUCGUAUCCCCUUAAAAUCCAAAUGUUGACAUCCUAACCCCUGGUAUUUUAUUUAGAAUGUCACUGUACCGGGGACAUGGUCUUUAAAGAGGUGGACAAGAUUAAGGUGAGGUUGUUAGGGUGGGCCCUCAUCCAUUCUGUCUGGUGUCCUCAUAAGAAGAGAAGGUUUGGAUGCAGAAAGAGACCAGGGGCACACAGAGGAGAGAGUGUGAGAACACGGCAAGGGGGUGGGCAUCUGUAAGAGAAGGAGAUGGCCGUAGAAGGAACCAACCCUGCUGACACCUUGAUCUUGAACUUCCUUGAUCCUGAACUUCCAGCCUUGAUCUUGAACUCUCCAGAACUGUGAGAAAUAAAUUUUUGUUGUUGGAGCUGCUGGGUCUGUGGUGUUUGGUUAUGGCGGCCCAGUGCACAAACACAAGAUCCCGGUGAAACUGCUCGCUUUGAGCUGCGGCCAGCCUGAACUCCCUUUGAAAGGGGCUCUGGGUGAGGCAGGCACAGGGCGUAUACGAUAGCCAGAUGUUUUCUUCAAACUUUAUAAUCCAUUUGUAGAAAGAAAGACUGGUAGGAAAACCAAUAUAUGAAAUUAGGUAUAAUUUAAGUGCUGUACCAUAUGAUACAGAAAAUUGUACAAUACGGUUGGUGUAUCUGCUGUAAGAACUUGGAGGAGGCAGAGCUCAGUGUGGAUUACAGCGGCGAGGGUGGAGUUUAUGGAAAUGACGGGAUGCAUACUGUUCCUUUUAUGCUGAGUGGGAUUUAAAGGGGUAUCAGGAAGGUAAAGAAGCACCCUGGAUACAGUAGGUGAUCAGUGUGAGCAAAGAGGCCGAGCAGAGGGUGACACAUGAAGCGUCAGUGCAGAAGUGGCCCUGUGCAGCGCAGACCUAACGUGCUGGGAACUCGUGGGAGACAGGGUUGGGCAGGCAGGGUAGGUGGACAUUAUAGGUGACUUUGGAAAUCAGGCCAAGGACUUAUGGUUCUUAGGGUUGAUCUGCUGGCACAAGUUACCCUUCAAGUAUCCCAGCAUUCACCAGCAAUGGUGGUUUUUUUUAAAUAUAGAGACAAGGUCUACAUCUAUUGCCCAGACUGGAACUCCAGAGA